GACGAACGCUGGCGGCGUGCUUAACACAUGCAAGUCGAACGGAAAGGCCUGCUUUCCCUUGUGGAUUGCGGGUACUCGAGUGGCGAACGGGUGAGUAACACGCGAGUGAUCUGCCCCCAACUUGGGUAUAAGCCUGGGAAACUGGGUCUAAUUCCCGAUAGGACUGCAGGGUGGUGCCUGUGGUGGAAAACGAUUUUCUAGUGGUUGGGGAUGAGCUCGCGGCCUAUCAGCUUGUUGGUGGGGUAAUGGCCUACCAAGGCGGCGACGGGUAGCCGGCCUGAGAGGGUGGACGGCCACAUUGGGACUGAGAUACGGCCCAGACUCCUACGGGAGGCAGCAGUGGGGAAUAGUGCACAAUGGGCGGAAGCCUGAUGCAGCGACGCCGCGUGGGGGAUGACGGCCUUCGGGUUGUAAACUCCUUUCGACCGCGAGGAAGCCACCUGGUUGGAAGGGUGGUGACGGUAGUGGUAGAAGAAGCACCGGCUAACUACGUG
RNAcentral lists this ribosomal RNA (494 nucleotides) under uncultured bacterium. RNAcentral's name for it is "partial 16S ribosomal RNA". It matches the Rfam family "Bacterial small subunit ribosomal RNA", at positions 28 to 507 of the family's 1533-position model. The record is from RNAcentral.